Nicotiana attenuata is the source of this 909-nucleotide long non-coding RNA. RefSeq lists it as uncharacterized. The transcript has 2 exons. NCBI's taxonomy places the organism in Eukaryota, Viridiplantae, Streptophyta, Magnoliopsida, Solanales, Solanaceae. The record is from RefSeq and is a predicted model, not a curated record.
CAGCAAAGAAUCGGUAAGACUCCACCUCAUUCGGAGUGCAGCCGAGUCUAUGAGUCAUCGUGUCAGAGUUUUGCUAAAGACUUAUGGGUAAGCCGGUAACCUAUCCUAUUUGAUGUCAAGUAAUCUUAGAGGCGUUGUAGACAGGGGUUCAUUUUGUAUAGUAUGUCUGAGGCCUUGACGGCCUACAUGUAUUCAUGUUUUAAGAAAAAUGGUUCAGUGAUACAGUAUUUCCAACCUACCGUUGUACAUUAUGAGUUGUGGCCAUGUUGGCCCAUGAUAGUUACAUAAGAAGAAAAAAAAUGAGUUAGAGCGGUUCGCUCGGACUAGUACGACGCCAAGUGCCAGCCACGCCUCCCCAGGUUGGGGCGUGACAAUUACAAAGGCAGUCGUUCUGCUGAUAAGGCUUCACGAGAAGUUAUGGAGUUGUUCCCUUAUUUGCUUGGAUGUUCCUAUAAUCAACUUUUCUUUAAGUUGAAGGAAUUAACGAUUCAGAAUAUGCAAGGGCAUGAAAACAAAACGUAAGAUUUUGCAGUCACUAUUUUUACUGUUUUGGACUGAUGGACCUUUUCUGAUAUGUGUUUUUUUUAUUACUGUAUCAAAUUUCAGUUUUGAUCAUUACUUUAGGGUUCACUGCUCGCUUUUUCAAGUGGAUAAGCCUUAGAAGAUGAUGUGUUAGCCUUGGAAGAUGAUGCAAGGGAAUCAAAAGCGUAGCUAAUCAUAUUUGUACUCGAGGCCUUUGCUGCAUUAGUUAGCCAUUAGUUUAGAUAAAUAGUAAUCCACUUUUUUGUGAAUUUCUAUAUCAAGUCAAUCCUACGUGGGUGGCUAGAAUUGCACAGAUGGAAAUUGUGGUUGGAGAUACUUUGGGUUUUAUUUAUUAACUGAUCAGAAGGCUUUAGAAGAUUUGAAAUA